Molecule: ribosomal RNA, 327 nt
Filed under: uncultured eukaryote
Lineage: Eukaryota
Description: partial 18S ribosomal RNA
Rfam family: Eukaryotic small subunit ribosomal RNA
Source: RNAcentral
CCCUUAGAUGUUCUGGGCCGCACACGCGCUACACUGAAGGAGGCAGCGUGUACUCCUGGAUCGAAAGAUGUGGGUAACCCGCGAAUCUCCUUCGUGCUAGGGAUUGAGGUUUGCAAUUAUCCUUCAUGAACGAGGAAUUCCCAGUAAGUGCAAGUCAUAAGCUUGCGCUGACUACGUCCCUGCCCUUUGUACACACCGCCCGUCGCUACUACCGAUUGAAUGAUUUAGUGAGGACUUCGGACUGGGACCGAUGCGGCUUUCGGGCUGCGUCGGUAUUCUGGAAAGAUGUCCAAACUGUAUCAUUUAGAGGAAGUAAAAGUCGUAACA